This 744-nucleotide small RNA is filed under the name Pan troglodytes (chimpanzee). RNAcentral's name for it is "processed transcript". Lineage: Eukaryota; Metazoa; Chordata; Mammalia; Primates; Hominidae. The record is from RNAcentral.
GUUCCAGUUGAGAAAGUAGGGCAGAGCAACUGUAACUUUGCCCCCAAGGUCCUGACAUUUAGAAGGGGCAAGAAGUUUAGAGGCGUGCACAGUUUCUUGGCACGUGCCUCUUCCAACUCCUUCUACAGCCAUCUAGGGCACACAGACACACCACCUAUAUGGGCCAGCCUGGUGGGCACCCACCAAGAUGGACAGCUUCAGUGGCUCCAGAUCAACGCAAAGCUCCCGCUGAUCAGGGCCUCUUCCUCCCCACAGUUAAUAUUCUCCACCUCUUCUGAGAAGAGGACCUGCAGGGCUUGUGUUUCAAGCUGCUUGCGGGGGGCCACCAAAGGGGAUACAGUGCUGGGCAGGGUGACUCUGUCAAGCCCCUGCCCCCAGGGAGCAAAGGACUCAGGGAUCCCACCUUGCUUUUACCAACAGACCCCUUUCAUAAGUCCUGGAUGGCCCCUGAAGCCCUCAACUUCUCCUUCAGCCAGAAAUCAGACAUCUGGUCCCUGGGCUGCAUCAUUCUGGACAUGACCAGCUGCUCCUUCAUGGAUGGCACAGAAGCCAUGCAUCUGCGGAAGUCCCUCCGCCAGAGCCCAGGCAGCCUGAAGGCCGUCCUGAAGACAAUGGAGGAGAAGCAGAUCCCGGAUGUGGAAACCUUCGGGAAUCUUCUGCCCUUGAUGCUCCAGAUCGACCCCUCGGAUCGAAUAACGAUAAAGUGAGCUCAGGGUCAGGGUUUACUUUAACCUAUGGAUUUAU